Molecule: small nuclear RNA, 150 nt
Filed under: Neogale vison (American mink)
Lineage: Eukaryota; Metazoa; Chordata; Mammalia; Carnivora; Mustelidae
Description: Neovison vison (American mink) U1 spliceosomal RNA (ENSNVIG00000021297.1)
Rfam family: U1 spliceosomal RNA
About the family: U1 is a small nuclear RNA (snRNA) component of the spliceosome (involved in pre-mRNA splicing). Its 5' end forms complementary base pairs with the 5' splice junction, thus defining the 5' donor site of an intron. There are significant differences in sequence and secondary structure between metazoan and yeast U1 snRNAs, the latter being much longer (568 nucleotides as compared to 164 nucleotides in human).
Source: RNAcentral
UCCCCUGUCUGGUAGGGGAGAUACCAUGAUCAUGAAGGGGGUAUUACAAGGGCAAGGUUUAUCCAUUGCACUAUGCCUGCAGUUUCCCCAAACAUGAGAAAUGGGACUACCUAGUAUGUGGUAGUGAGGACUGGGUUCAUGCUUUCCCCC